ACGAAGGGGGCUAGCGUUGUUCGGAAUUACUGGGCGUAAAGCGCGCGCAGGCGGCUUCUCAAGUCAGGGGUGAAAGCCCAGAGCUCAACUCUGGAAUUGCCCUUGAAACUGUGGAGCUUGAGUACGGUAGAGGUGAGUGGAAUUCCCAGUGUAGAGGUGAAAUUCGUAGAUAUUGGGAAGAACACCGGUGGCGAAGGCGGCUCACUGGACCGUUUCUGACGCUCAGGCGCGACAGCGUGGGGAUCAAACAGGAUUAGAUACCCUGGUAGUCCACGCCGUAAACGAUGGACGCUAGCCGUUGGCAGGCUUGCCUGUCAGUGGCGCAGCUAACGCAUUAAGCGUCCCGCCUGGGGAGUACGGCCGCAAGGUUG
RNAcentral lists this ribosomal RNA (371 nucleotides) under uncultured bacterium. RNAcentral's name for it is "bacterial SSU rRNA". It matches the Rfam family "Bacterial small subunit ribosomal RNA", at positions 525 to 896 of the family's 1533-position model. The record is from RNAcentral.